This 24-nucleotide non-coding RNA is filed under the name Arabidopsis thaliana (thale cress). Lineage: Eukaryota; Viridiplantae; Streptophyta; Magnoliopsida; Brassicales; Brassicaceae. The record is from RNAcentral.
GCUCCUAGGAUUGGCGUUAAGAGA